GACGAACGCUGGCGGCGUGCUUAACACAUGCAAGUCGUACGGAAAGGCCUGCUUUCCCUUGUGGAUUGCGGGUACUCGAGUGGCGAACGGGUGAGUAACACGUGAGUGAUCUGCCCCCAACUUGGGUAUAAGCCUGGGAAACUGGGUCUAAUUCCCGAUAGGACUGCAGGGUGGUGCCUGUGGUGGAAAACGAUUUUCUAGUGGUUGGGGAUGAGCUCGCGGCCUAUCAGCUUGUUGGUGGGGUAAUGGCCUACCAAGGCGGGGACGGGUAGCCGGCCUGAGAGAGUGGACGGCCGCAGUGGGACUGAGAUACGGCCCAGACGCCUACGGGAGGCAUCAGUGGGGAAUAUUGCACAAUGGGCGGAAGCCUGAUGCAGCGACGCCGCGUGGGGGAUGACGGCCUUCGGGUUGUAAACUCCUUUCGACCGCGAGGAAGCCACCUGGUUGGAAGGGUGGUGACGGUAGUGGUAGAAGAAGCACCGGCUAACUACGUG
RNAcentral lists this ribosomal RNA (494 nucleotides) under uncultured bacterium. RNAcentral's name for it is "partial 16S ribosomal RNA". It matches the Rfam family "Bacterial small subunit ribosomal RNA", at positions 28 to 507 of the family's 1533-position model. The record is from RNAcentral.